CCUACGGGUGGCAGCAGUGAGGAAUAUUGGUCGAUGGACGAGAGUCUGAACCAGCCAAGUAGCGUGAAGGAUGACUGCCCUAUGGGUUGUAAACUUCUUUUAUAUGGGAAUAAAAUGUUCCACGUGUGGGAUUUUGUAUGUACCAUAUGAAUAAGGAUCGGCUAACUCCGUGCCAGCAGCCGCGGUAAUACGGAGGAUCCGAGCGUUAUCCGGAUUUAUUGGGUUUAAAGGGAGCGUAGGUGGAUUGUUAAGUCAGUUGUGAAAGUUUGCGGCUCAACCGUAAAAUUGCAGUUGAAACUGGCAGUCUUGAGUACAGUAGAGGUGGGCGGAAUUCGAGGUGUAGCGGUGAAAUGCUUAGAUAUCACGAAGAACUCCGAUUGCGAAGGCAGUUCACUGGACUGCAACUGACACUGAGGCUCGAAAGUGUGGGUAUCAAACAGGAUUAGAUACCCCAGUAGUC
Molecule: ribosomal RNA, 460 nt
Filed under: uncultured bacterium
Lineage: Bacteria
Description: partial 16S ribosomal RNA
Rfam family: Bacterial small subunit ribosomal RNA
Source: RNAcentral